Molecule: long non-coding RNA, 785 nt
Organism: Dicentrarchus labrax (European seabass)
Lineage: Eukaryota; Metazoa; Chordata; Actinopteri; Moronidae
Exons: 2
Source: RefSeq, a predicted model, not a curated record
UUUGCAAAUUUAUUAAAAAAGAAAAACUGAAAUAUCACAUGGUCAUAAGUAUUCAGACCCUUUACUGUGACACUCAUUUAACUCACAUGCUGUCCAUUUCUUCUGAUCCUCCUUGAGAUGGUUCUGCUCCUUCAUUGGAGUCCAGCUGUGUUUAAUUAAACUGAUAGGACUUGAUUAGGAAAGGCACACACCUGUCUAUAUAAGACCUUACAGCUCACAGUGCAUGUCAGAGCAAAUGAGAAUCAUGAGGUCGAAGGAACUGCCCAAGGAGCUCAGAGACAGAAUUGUGGCAAGGCACAGAUCUGGCCAAGGUUACAAAAGAAUUUCUGCAGCACUCAAGGUUCCUAAGAGCACAGUGGCCUCCAUAAUCCUUAAAUGGAAGAAGUUUGGGACGACCAGAACUCUUCCUAGACCUGGCCGUCCAGCCAAACUGAGCAAUCGUGGGAGAAGAGCCUUGGUGAGAGAGGUAAAGAAGAACCCAAAGAUCACUGUGGUUGAGCUCCAGAGAUGCAGUAGGGAGAUGGGAGAAAGUUCCACAAAGUCAACUAUCACUGCAGCCCUGCACCAGUCGGGGCUUUAUGGCAGAGUGGCCCGACGGAAGCCUCUCCUCAGUGCAAGACAUAUGAAAGCCCGCAUAGAGGUUGCCAAAAAACACAUGAAGGACUCCCAGACUAUGAGAAAUAAGAUUCUCUGGUCUGAUGAGACCAAGAUUGAACUUUUUGGCGUUAAUUCUAAGCGGUAUGUGUGGAGAAAACCAGGCACUGCUCAUCACCUGCCCAAUACAA